GUGCUUGCUUAGACAGCACAUAUACUAAAACUGGAAGGAUACAGAGAAGAUUGGCAUGGCCCCUGAACAAGGAUGACAUGCAAAUUCGUGAAGCAUUCCUUAUUUCU
Molecule: small nuclear RNA, 107 nt
Filed under: Dasypus novemcinctus (nine-banded armadillo)
Lineage: Eukaryota; Metazoa; Chordata; Mammalia; Cingulata; Dasypodidae
Source: RNAcentral